ACAAACGCUGGCGGCGUGCUUAACACAUGCAAGUCGCACGGAAAGGCCCUGCUUUUGUGGGGUGCUCGAGUGGCGAACGGGUGAGUAACACGUGAGUAACCUGCCCUUGACUUUGGGAUAACUUCAGGAAACUGGGGCUAAUACCGGAUAGGAGCUCCUGCUGCAUGGUGGGGGUUGGAAAGUUUCGGCGGUUGGGGAUGGACUCGCGGCUUAUCAGCUUGUUGGUGGGGUAGUGGCUUACCAAGGCUUUGACGGGUAGCCGGCCUGAGAGGGUGACCGGCCACAUUGGGACUGAGAUACGGCCCAGACUCCUACGGGAGGCAGCAGUGGGGAAUAUUGCACAAUGGGCGGAAGCCUGAUGCAGCAACGCCGCGUGCGGGAUGACGGCCUUCGGGUUGUAAACCGCUUUCGCCUGUGACGAAGCGUGAGUGACGGUAAUGGGUAAAGAAGCACCGGCUAACUACGUG
RNAcentral lists this ribosomal RNA (467 nucleotides) under uncultured bacterium. RNAcentral's name for it is "partial 16S ribosomal RNA". It matches the Rfam family "Bacterial small subunit ribosomal RNA", at positions 29 to 507 of the family's 1533-position model. The record is from RNAcentral.